CCUGGGCUAUUUUUUUUUACAUGGUGGUUUUUCCUAGUUCAUUGACAGUGAUGACCGGUUCCCUACAGAGCUGGCCACCUUGCUGAGUGCACUGGAUGGCACACAGUGACAACAAAUGACACAGAAGCCUCUCUUCUCGAGGACUCGAGGAGUUAAAUAUCUGAUGGAGAAGAGAAGACAGGACCCAGGCACAAGCAGCGCAAUCUGUAUGAACAAAUACAAGAAUCACAUACUCCACAGUCCCAUGAGCCACGGGGAUAGAUAGCAAAGGGUUCCCCAGCAGCCCUGGCAGGCAGGUAGACAGCCACAGCUAUGCGGGCCCUUAGGUCAGCCCUCUCAGAUGAUCUGAAACCACUUCAGUCUGUCUGAAGCUCUCAUGAACAUUUCCUGUUAAGUAUUGUUUUCAAUAAUUUAUUCUGGAGGAGAUGUUGGCUCCCCUGGGAAUCACUUUGCAGCACAUCCCCUCCAGAGACCAGCUACAGACAUCAGGCGCCAGGAUAGAAGAGUCGCUCUGUGUAGACGGUGGACCAGGAAUAAGGUUGCCUCAAAAAAAUAAUAGCUGACAUCCGCCCCACCCUCCACUCUUCAAUCAAGCCAGUCAGGCAAUGAACCUUUUCACACCUGAGGGAUUAUUUUUGCUUUUGUCUGAUUCUGCUGUGUUAAAGGAAACAAGUGUUGAGAAAGUUGUUAACCCUGUACAGAAAAAGAACCCAAGUAUGAAGCCAAAGAAAGAGCAGUGGUGAAGCCUGAAAAAAGCUCAAAGCGCGGGACAAAGGCAGAGCUGGAGCUGUUCCUGCACCUGUGGGUGUAUGGGGAGCAGGGGAGAGAAGGUAUCAGCACAGGUCAUUUUUAGGGUGCCAGGGCAGGGUUGAGGAGGGAGUUCUUAGCAGUAGAAACCCACUGUGUGCUAACAGCAGUGAGGAGAGUCCUAGCAGCAAGGGUGGGAACAGAUAGGCAGCUUCCAAUGGGUGCCCAAGGUCCAAGCAUGAGUUUUUUUUUAACUCUAGAAACCCAAACAUACACUAUUUGAUAAAACUAAAAUUACUUUAGCUGCUGGAAGCAAAUCUGUGUUUUUUGUGAUCGAUUCAAACCACAGAUAGAGCAGGGGAUUGUCUUUCGGUAGGUGUGAAUGGGGCUGUAUUAGUCACCAGAGUUUCAAGUGUGCUUCUGUUUAGUUAUCAAACUGCAAUUCCAUUGAUACCCCGUCUUGAGUGUCUCCUCUGUGAGUAACAUGAAAAGGACCUCUGGUUAAAUAGAAAACUUGUCUUGAAUUUGGAAUUACAACAUGCCCUUACUUAUUCAGGACUCAAUUAACUGAGCUUCAGGAUAAUCCAAGGUGAAGAAAAACAAGAGCUGACAAAGAAAAGAAAUGGUGCUGCUGGGUUAGGGUCUCCCCAACUGAGCUGGUCUCAGCAAGUGGCGUCCAUUCGUGGGAGCUUGAAUCCAGGUCGAAGGGUCACCGGAGCAAUGGUUGGAAUGGAAAACUAGCUGGAGGACACCCGAGUACUCUAAAAGCAAUCCCCAUGGCCAAAAUCAACAGCCAAUUUGGAUACCAUCAAGACACCUGAAACCUUAUCAUGAGCCAGAUGCCAAGGAAGAGAUUCGGGAGGAUCCUGAGGACCCCCCGGUUGCAGCCAUGUUGAGACUGAUGCUGAGGAGGACCCCAACUGUCACGAGCAACACCCGUCGACCACAGCCACCCACCUGGGGACAGAUCAAGAAGCUGUCACAGAUGGCGGAGGAAAGCGGAACAACCAGUCACAAUGAAUAAUUUAAUGGUAGCUAUGAUAGUGGUUAUCACCACUGCCGUGAGUAUUCCUACAAUAAGGGCUGGUAAUAACGCCUGGAUGCAAUCACUCUAUGACACAGUUACAUAUGCUUUCUGAUCUCAGUAUUUACCAUAAUAAAUCUGCUCCUAUAAUUGAGGCAUACCACCCUUAAAAACCUAUUUGUAAACAGGAUUGGACCCAGUUAGAAAAAAUGAACACAAUUGUUUAGGAAGAUUGCCUUGCAGAACAGGCAGAGAUGCUGCACAACGAUUCCUAUGGAAUCAUUAUUAAUUGGUCCCCUAAGGGGAUGUUUAGCUUGAAUUGCACCUCUCAGUCUGCGUGCCACAGUCACACUAUGUUUAGAUGAUCUGAACAAAACAGUCAGAUGGUAGAAAUGUUAAGAAGUACGGCAAA
RNAcentral lists this long non-coding RNA (2183 nucleotides) under Homo sapiens (human). RNAcentral describes it as "HSALNT0296777". The record is from RNAcentral. Lineage: Eukaryota; Metazoa; Chordata; Mammalia; Primates; Hominidae.